This 229-nucleotide ribosomal RNA is filed under the name uncultured bacterium. RNAcentral's name for it is "partial 16S ribosomal RNA". It matches the Rfam family "Bacterial small subunit ribosomal RNA", at positions 568 to 796 of the family's 1533-position model. The record is from RNAcentral.
UACGUAGGCGGAAUAAUAAGUCAGUGAUGAAAUCCUGCGGCUCAACCGUAGAACUGCCAUUGAAACUGUUAUUCUUGAAUGUAGUUGAGGUAGGCGGAAUGUGUAAUGUAGCGGUGAAAUGCUUAGAUAUUACACAGAACACCGAUUGCGAAGGCAGCUUACUAAACUAUGAUUGACGCUGAUGUACGAAAGCGUGGGGAGCGAACAGGAUUAGAUACCCUGGUAGUCC